This 1626-nucleotide long non-coding RNA is filed under the name Salmo salar (Atlantic salmon). RNAcentral's name for it is "lncRNA (ENSSSAG00000084449.1)". Lineage: Eukaryota; Metazoa; Chordata; Actinopteri; Salmoniformes; Salmonidae. The record is from RNAcentral.
GUUCUGUAGGUGAGAAAGUCCUCUUGGUGCUAGGGGGCAGUAUUUUCACGGCCGGAUGAAAAACGUACCCAAUUUAAACAGGUUACUACUCUGGCCCAGAAAAUAGAAUAUGCAUAUUAUUAGUUGAUUUGGAUAGAAAACACUCUGAAGUUUCUAAAACUGUUUGAAUGGUGUCUGUGAGUAUAACAGAACUCAUAUGGCAGGCAAAAACCUUAGAAAAAUUGAAUCAGGAAGUGGGAGAAAUUAGAAAUGUAGUUUAUCUUUUGAAUCCCUUGAAAAACUACAGUGACAUAGGAUUUACGUUGCACCUCCUAAGGCUUCCAUUGGCUUUCAACAAUCUUCAGGAACUGGUUUCAUCCGUCACCUGUUACCGGGCAGAAAAUUGUGGCUCAGUCAAUCACUGGCCAGUCUGAGGACAGGUGUCUCGUGACGCGCAUGCACGUGACUUUGUUGUUUGUUAUUUUUCUUCUGGGAUGAAUACCUAUUGCCCGGUUGUAAAAUUAUCGCAAUUUUACGUUAAAAAAUACCCUAAAGGAUUGAUUGUAAACAUUGUUUGACAUGUUUCUACAAACGGUGAACUUUUGAACAUUUCGUCUAUGGAUUUGCGUCCACGCCACAUGGCAUCGUAAAGUGUUCUGGAUGGGUCAAAAAAUUGGACGUAUUUGGACAUAAAUGAUGGACUUUGCAGAACAAAUGAACAUUUCUGGUGGAAGUGGGACCCCUUCCGAGUGCAUUCCGCCGAAGAUCAGCAAAGGUAAGAAAAUAUUUCCAACAUAUUUUUAGAGAUUUGUCGACAGGCUAACUGUAUAACUUAGCAUUGAAGGCUAAGUUCUGUACUCAGAAUAUUGAACAAUGUGCUUUUUCCGUAAAGUUAUUUUGAAAUCUGACAAAGUGGUUGCAUAAAGGAGUAGAUUAUCUCUAAUUCUUUAAAUAAUUGUUAUACAUUUUGUCAACGUUUAUGAGUUCUUCUGUAAAUUAAAUAUGCCUAUUCACCGGAGGUUAUGGGGAGAAAACAUUUUCUGAACGUCACGCACCAAUGUAGAAAUUGGGUUUUUGGAUAUAAAUAUGAACUUAAUCGAACAAAAAAUGCAUGUAUUGUCUAAAAUGAUGUCCUAGGAGUGUCAUCUGAUGAAGAUUGUCAAAGGUUAGUGCUUCAUUUUAGCUGUAUAUCUGGUUUUGUGACGGCUAUCCAUGCUUGGAAAAUAGCUUUUUUUUGUUGCUAAGGUGCUAUCCUAAAAUAAUCUGUUUUGCUUUCACCGUAAAGCCUUUUUGAAAUCAGACAAUGUGAUUGGAUUAACGAGUAGAGUAUCUUUAAAAUGCUGUAUAAUACUUGAAUUGUAAUUUUGAGAUUUUUUUUUUUGAAUUUCGCGCCGUGCUCUCACUGGUUGUUGUCCAACCAAUCCCGUUAACGGGAUUUUAUCUCGAAGGGUUCCUCAAGCUCAUCACUGAUUGCAUCUCAGAGGGGGCUCACCAUUUGGAUUUGAGAGAGACCAAUGAUGCUGAUCGGGCAUCUGUUAUAAAGGCCUAUAUGAUGGAGUCAGAUACCAUCGCCCAGUGGGCGAAAAUGGAGAGGGAGAGAUACUGAUGAAAUGCCUUCGACAUGGAUUGUAAUGAUCGAGUGACAGA